CCUGGACAGAUUGACAAUCACUUCCCCCCUGAUGAGUUGCUCCAAACUCUGGAGAUUACAAAUACUCCUAAACACACAUUCCCUGCAUCUCAGCCCAUACUUUUAGCACCAUGUGCAUUUACCAAUGCAAACAAACACACCUUUGUUGUUAUCCCGAAAAUUCCCAAUAAACAGGACAUCUCCCAUGUGGAGCACCACUCAGGCUCAGUGCAACUGGGAGAACUUAGGGUAAAAAUACAGGCAUUCUUCAAUAUUUUUUUCAGACAGUAAAUUCUCUGUCUAGGUGGCAAAAGCAAUUCCCUGUGCAACUUUUAGACCCACAGGUAAGCCUAAUGAUCAAGCUCUCCAGACUCUUAAGGAUCUUACAGAAAACAGGAAACCUCCAUGGUUCAUCUCACAUGUGAGACCCCAUACUGGAUUGCCUGGAUUCAUUGCUACAGGCAACUCUCUGGUGAACAAACUCAUCUCCAACGGGUCUAAUGACACCAUACUGGGGGAGAAGGACACAUUUAUUUCCUGCUUUCCUGUGUCAUUGGACUUGCUGGAGUAAGCCCGUAUCCUGCACACUAAGUUUCACAUGUCUGCAAAUAAUUUGAUAGCCUUGUUUCCUGACUUUACUAUAACACAAUGCAAGCAUCUAGUUCAGGGUUGAAAGAAUUGUGCCCCUCUGGUGCUGCUUGGACCACUGUAACCACAGGGAGUAAACCCUCGAGGCCUCUCCACUAAUAAACUUUGGCAAAUGGAUGUCAUUUACAUCUUCUCUUUUGGUAAGCUCAAGUAUUCCUUGUUAUUAUGGACACUUACUCCAAAUGUAUACAUGCUAUGGCACAGUUAGGAGAGAAGGCUUCAAAUGCGAUAAAGGCAAUGAAAGCAGCAAUGUUAAUAUUGGAGUGACUUGGUCUCUAAAAACAGACAAUGGACAAGCAUAUACAUCACAGGAGUUUCAAAAUUUCCUGGUGUCCUGGAAGAUUACUCACACAACAGGCAUUCCUUAUAACCCACAAGGACAAGGUAUAGUGUAAAGGACUAACCAGACACUUAAGGAAACAUUACAGGAACAAAAGAAUGCUCAUAUAUGCCCAGAUCCUCAUCUUGUAUUGAUGCAUGCUCUUUUUGCCCUCAAGUUUCUUAACUUUGACUCAAAUGGGAUAAGCCCUGAAUACAAGCACUGGAGCUCCUUUCCCUCCCUGGCUCCAGUCCCUCUAGUACAUUGGAAAGAUCCACUCACCAAUGCAUGGAAAGGGCCACACCCUUUGAUUACCUAAGGUAGAAGCUUCACCUGUGUUUUUCCAGAGGAUGCCUCUCACAUCUCUUGGGUACCAGCAAAAAAUGUCAGACCAGCCAUUGACAGCCAGGCUUCAGAAACCAAGCCAAAAGGAGAAGAAGAAAUCAUCAUGACCUUCCCACUUGAGGGCUUACAAGAUAACCUGGGGUGAUAUCAAAACCGUAUCAGAUCAAGCCCAGACCAUGUCACCUGCCAGAGACCAGAGCCCUGGUACUCUCUUCUUGCUUAUGUGUGCAACUAUAACCUGAAACUCACAGGUAAAUGCACAACAGGAGAAAGAAAGGUCUCUGCCUAACAGCCUGAUAAUUCAAGGCUCUAUGCUGGCCUGUCUAAGCAAAACGGACACACUUUAAAUUAUGGCCCAUGAGAGAAAAAAUUGCUUUGCAGGCAGCUAUCACUCAUA
This 1688-nucleotide long non-coding RNA is filed under the name Marmota monax (woodchuck). The record is from RNAcentral. Lineage: Eukaryota; Metazoa; Chordata; Mammalia; Rodentia; Sciuridae.